UGAGGGAAAGUUGCAAAGAACUUUGAAGAGAGAGUUCAAGAGUACGUGAAACUGCUCAGAGGUAAACGGGUGGGCCCUCGAAAUCCCGCUGCGGGGGGAUUCAGUCGGGAGGCCCGAUAUUUACGGAGUCGGGGGUUCCGACGGUCGACAUACCACGGGCCAUGUUCCCGUUCCGUUCUGGCCGCCCGACGCAAUUCCUCCCGCACGAAGGACGCCGCAGCCGGUCGGGUACUUUAAGAGUCGGCCGUGAGGACCGGGCCGACGGCAGGUGACGGGAGGCUCGACCUAGCGUGAGUCUUCCCGUUGUUAGCCUGGCCUGUCUCUGGCGCGACACCCGACCGAGGAGAGAACCGUCCGCGCACUCGUAUUCGAGCGGAACCGGCAGGCACGGUCGACGAGGGCGACACGGAACCCACCCGCGAGCGGUGGCCCGUUACCGAGUCGGCCGCGUUGCCUCUGGUUGAUCGCGUUUCUUAGUGCAGCAGAUGGCUUGCGGCGAGUAGGUCGGUCACCCACCCGUCCCGUCUUGAAACACGGACCAAGGAGUCUAACAUGUGCGCAAGUCGCAGGGUCUUGAACAGGCCCGACGGCGCAAUGAAAGUGGAUCGGCGAGAGACUCGUUCUCUCGCCUGUUGGGAUCCCCGCGACUCAGUUCGCGGGGCGCACCAACGGCCCGUCCCGAACGAUUCGUCGGUGGGCCGGAGUCGGAGCGCACACGUUGGGACCCGAAAGAUGGUGAACUAUGCCCGGGCAGAACGAAGCCGGGGGAAACCCUGGUGGAGGUUCGCAGCGGUUCUGACGUGCAAAUCGAUCGUCAGACCUGGG
RNAcentral lists this ribosomal RNA (825 nucleotides) under Aetana banahaw. RNAcentral describes it as "partial 28S ribosomal RNA". It matches the Rfam family "Eukaryotic large subunit ribosomal RNA", at positions 354 to 915 of the family's 3401-position model. Lineage: Eukaryota; Metazoa; Arthropoda; Arachnida; Araneae; Pholcidae. The record is from RNAcentral.